Molecule: long non-coding RNA, 3808 nt
Filed under: Brassica napus (rape)
Lineage: Eukaryota; Viridiplantae; Streptophyta; Magnoliopsida; Brassicales; Brassicaceae
Description: long non-coding RNA (BNAP_LNC023416)
Source: RNAcentral
UCUUCGUCGUUCCAUUCAAACCAAGAUGAAUCACUUUGUGGGAAGCUUGAUUUGGAUACAUAAACUGGUGGAGAAUCACCAGGAAGUUGAAUAAAUCUCAUAGGAGUUGGCAAGAAGAAGUUAUUCCACUUUCAAAUUAGGUGAUUCCAGUUUCCCAGUUUCAGAAUAGGACAGCUUCUUCGUCGUUCCAAUCAAACCAGGAUGAAUCACUAUGUGAGAAGCUUGAUUUGGAUACAUAAAGUGGUGGAUAAUCACCAGGAAAAUGAAUAAAUCUCAUAGGAGUUGGAUGAAGAAGUUAUCCCACUUUCAAAUCAGGUGAUUCCAGUUUCCCAGUUUGGGACUAGCACAGCUUCUUCGUCGUUCCAAUCGAAACAGGAUGAAUCACUAUGUGAGAAGCUUGAUUUGGAUACAUAAAGUGGUGGAUAAUCACCAGGAAAAUGAAUAAAUCUCAUAGGAGUUGGAUGAAGAAGUUAUCCCAUAGUUGAAUAAAUCUUAUAGGAGUUGGCAAGAAGAAGUUAUCCCACUUUCAAAUCAGGUGAUUCCAGUUUCCCAAUUUGGGAAUAGCACGGCUUCAACGUCGUUCCAAUCAAACCAGGAUGAAUCACUUUUUGAGAAGCUUGAUUUGGAUACAAAAAGUGGUGGAGAAUCACCAGGUAGUUGAAUAAAUCUCAUAGGAGUUGGCAAGAAGAAGUUAUCCCACUUUCAAAUCAGGUAAUUCAGUUUCCCAGUUUGGGAAUAAGACAGCUUCUUCGUCGUUCCAAUCAAACCAGGAUGAAUCUCUUUGUGAGAAACAUGAUUUGGAUACAUAAAGUGGUGGAAAAUCACGAGGAAGUUGAAUAAAUCUCAUAGGAGUUGGCAAGAAGAAGUUAUCCCACUUUCAAAUCAGGUGAUUCCAGUUUCCCAGUUUGGGAAUAACCAGUUUGGGAAUAGGACAGCUUCUUCGUCGUUCCAAUAAAACCAGGAUUAAUCUCUUUGUGAGAAGCUUGAUUUGGAUAAAUAAAGUGGUUCCCAGUUUGGGAAUAGCACAGCUUCAUCGUCGUUCCAAUCGAACCAGGAUGAAUCACUUUGUGACAAGCUUGAUUUGGAUACAUAAAGUGGUGGAGAAUCACCAGGAAGUUGAAUUAAUCUCAUAGUAGUUGGCAAGAAGAAGUUAUCCCACUUUCGAAUCAGGUUAUUCCAGUUUUCCAGUUUGGGAAUAGGACAGCUUCUUCGUCGUUCCAAUAAAACCAGGAUUAAUCUCUUUGUGAGAAGCUUGAUUUGGAUAAAUAAAGUGGUUCCCAGUUUGGGAAUAGCACAGCUUCAUCGUCGUUCCAAUCGAACCAGGAUGAAUCACUUUGUGACAAGCUUGAUUUGGAUACAUAAAGUGGUGGAGAAUCACCAGGAAGUUGAAUAAAUCUCAUAGGAGUUGGCAAGAAGAAGUUAUCCCACUUUCAAAUCACGAUCAUCCAGUUUCCUAGUUUGGAAAUAGGACAGCUUCUUCGUCGUUCCAAUCAAACCAGGAUGAAUCUCUUUGUGAGAAGCUUGAUUUCGAUAUAUAAAGUGGCGGAGAAUCACCAGGAAGUUGAAUAAAUUUCAUAGGAGUUGGCAAGAAGAAGUUAUCCAAUUUUCAAAUCAGUUGAUUUCAGUUUCCCAGUUUGGGAAUAGGACAGCUUCUUCGUCGUUCCAUUCAAACCAAGAUGAAUCACUAGUUUCCCAGUUUGGGAAUUGGACAACUUCUUCGUCGUUCCAAUCACACCACGAUGAAUCACUUUGUAAGAAGCUUGAUUUGGAUACUUAAAAUGGUGGUCACACCACGAUGAAUCACUUUGUAAGAAGCUUGAUUUGGAUAUAUAAAGUGGUGUAGAAUCACAAGGAAGUUGAAUAAAUCUCAUAGGAGCUGGGAUGAAGAAAUUAUCCCACUUUCAAAUCAGGUGAUUCCAGUUUCCCAGUUUGGGAAUAGGAAAGCUUCUGCAUCGUUCCAAUCAAACCACGAUGAAUCACUUUGUAAGAGGCUUGAUUUGGAUACAUAAAGUGGUGUAGAAUCACCAGGAAGUUGAAUAAAUCUCAUAGGAGCUGGGAUGAAGAAGUUAUCCCACAUUCAAACCAGGUGAUUCCAGUUUUGCAGUUUGGGAAUAGGACAGCUUUUGUGUCGUUCCAAUCAAACCAGGAUGAAUGACUUUGUAAAAAGCUUUAUUUGGAUACAUAAAGUGGUCGAGAAUCACCAGGAAGUUGAAUAAAUCUCAUAGGAGCUGGGAUGAAGAAGUUAUCCCACUUUCAAAUCAGGUGAUUCCAGUUUCCCAGUAUGGGAAUAGGACAGCUUCUUCGUCGUUCCAAUCAAACCACAAUGAGUCACUUUGUAAGAAGCUUGAAUUGGAUACAUAAAAUGGUGUAGAAUCACCAGGAAGUUGAAUAAAUCUCAUAGGAGCUGGGAUGAAGAAGUUAUCCCACUUUCAAAUCAGGUGAUUCUAGUUUCGCAGUUUGGGAAUAGGACAGCUUUUAUGUCGUUCCAAUUUAAACCAGGAUGAAUCACUUUGUAAGAAGCUUCAUUUGUAUACAUAAAGUGGUGGAGAAUCACCGGGAAGUUGAAUAAAUCUCAUAACAGCUGGGAUGAAGAAGUUAUCCCACUUUCAAAUCAGGUGAUUCCAGUUUCCCAGUUUCGGAACAAGACAGCUUCUGCGUCGUUCCAAUCAAACCAGGAUGAAUCACUUUGUAAGAAGCUCGCCAAUUUGGGAAUAGGACAGCUUCUGCGUCGUUCCAAUCAAACCAGAAUGAAUCACUUUGUAAGAAGCUUGAUUUGGAUACAUAAAAAAAGUGGUGUAGAAUCACCAGGAAGUUGAAUAAAUCUCAUAGGAGCUGGGAUGAAGAAGUUAUCCCACUUUCAAAUCAGGUGAUUACAGUUUUCCAGUUUGGGAAUAGGACAGCUUCUUCAUCGUUUGGGAUGAAUGAGUUAUCCCACUUUCAAAUCAGGUGAUUCCAGUUUCCCAAUUUGGGAAUAAGACAGCUUCUGCGUCGUUCCAAUCAAACCAGAAUGAAUCACUUUGUAAGAAGCUUGAUUUGGAUACAUAAAGUGUUGGAGAAUCACCAGGAAGUUGAAUUAAUCUCAUAGGAGUUGGGAUGAAUGAGUUAUCCCACUUUCAAAUCAGGUGAUUCCAGUUUCUCAGUUGGGAACAAGACAGCUUUUGCGUCGUUCCAAUCAAACCAGGAUGAAUCACUUUGUAAGAAGCUCCAUUUGGAUACUUAAAAUGGUGGAGAAUCACCAGGAAGUUGAAUAAAUCUCAUAGGAGCUGGGAUGAAGAAGUUAUCCCAGUUUCAAAUCAGGUGAUUCCAGUUUCCCAGUUUGGGAAUAGGACAGCUUCUUCGUCGUUCCAAUCAAACCACGAUGAAUCACUUUGUAAGAAGCUUGAUUUAAAUACAUAAAGUGGUGGAGAAUCACCAGUAAAUUGAAUAAAUCUCCUAGGGGUUGGGAUGAAGAAGUUAUCCCACUUUCAAAUCAGGUGAUUCCAGUUUUGCAGUUUGGGAAUAGGACAGCUUCUACGUCGUUCCAAUUAAACCACGAUGAAUCACUUUGUAAGAAGAUUGAUUUGGAUACAUAAAGUGUUGUAGAAUCACCAGGAAGUUGAAUAAAUCUCAUAGGAGCUGGGAUGAAGAAGUUAUCCCACUUUCAAAUCAGGUGAUCCCAGUUUCCCAAUUUGGGAAUAGGACAGCUUCUGCGUCGUUCCAAUCAAACCAGAAUGAAUCACUUUGUAAGAAGCUUGAUUUGGAUACAUAAAAAAAGUGGUGUAGAAUCACCAGGAAGUUGAAUAAAUCUCAUAGGAGCUGGGAUGAAGAA